GAACCAGUACCGUGAGGGAAAGGCGAAAAGAACCCCGGCGAGGGGAGUGAAAAAGAACCUGAAACCGUGUACGUACAAGCAGUGGGAGCCCCACCACUAAGCCAGUGGUGAACUCCACAUACGCAUCCUUUGCUGAAGGCAAUGGUUAACGGAGCGAAAGCGACGUUCAACCGCAAAACAAGCAGAGGGGGCUUAGUGGUGGGGUGACUGCGUACCUUUUGUAUAAUGGGUCAGCGACUUAUAUUCUGUAGCAAGGUUAACCGUAUAGGGGAGCCGGAGGGAAACCGAGUCUUAAUUGGGCGUUAAGUUGCAGGGUAUAGACCCGAAACCCGGUGAUCUAGCCAUGGGCAGGUUGAAGGUUGGGUAACACUAACUGGAGGACCGAACCGACUAAUGUUGAAAAAUUAGCGGAUGACCUGUGGCUGGGGGUGAAAGGCCAAUCAAACCGGGAGAUAGCUGGUUCUCCCCGAAAGCUAUUUAGGUAGCGCCUCGUGAAUUCAUCUCCGGGGGUAGAGCACUGUUUCGGCUAGGGGGCCAUCCCGGCUUACCAACCCGAUGCAAACUGCGAAUACCGGAGAAUGUUAUCACGGGAGACACACGGCGGGUGCUAACGUCCGUCGUGAAGAGGGAAACAACCCAGACCGCCAGCUAAGGUCCCAAAGUCAUGGUUAAGUGGGAAACGAUGUGGGAAGGCCCAGACAGCCAGGAUGUUGGCUUAGAAGCAGCCAUCAUUUAAAGAAAGCGUAAUAGCUCACUGGUCGAGUCGGCCUGCGCGGAAGAUGUAACGGGGCUAAACCAUGCACCGAAGCUGCGGCAGCGACACUCAGGUGUUGUUGGGUAGGGGAGCGUUCU
This 852-nucleotide ribosomal RNA is filed under the name Salmonella enterica. RNAcentral's name for it is "partial 23S ribosomal RNA". It matches the Rfam family "Bacterial large subunit ribosomal RNA", at positions 492 to 1242 of the family's 2925-position model. Lineage: Bacteria; Pseudomonadati; Pseudomonadota; Gammaproteobacteria; Enterobacterales; Enterobacteriaceae. The record is from RNAcentral.